CAGGACCACGCCAAUAUCUCGGACAUCAUGGGGAAGAAGACUCCAGACAUAAAUUUCGAACGUUUGUGGGUCUCAUGGGUAAAAGAAGCUUUGAUUAAAAGGAGCCAUGUGAGCCGCACAGAAGACUGAAGAUCUGCCUUUUGUUUUUGUUUCAAUUCCACAUGUUUGAUUUUUUGUUUUUGAUUG
Molecule: long non-coding RNA, 186 nt
Organism: Larimichthys crocea (large yellow croaker)
Lineage: Eukaryota; Metazoa; Chordata; Actinopteri; Sciaenidae
Exons: 3
Source: RefSeq, a predicted model, not a curated record